UGCGUAGGCGGGAAAUUAAGUCAGUAGUGAAAUCCCACAGCUUAACUGUGGAACUGUUAUUGAUACUGGUUUUCUUGAAUAUAGUUGAGGUAGGCGGAAUGUGUAAUGUAGCGGUGAAAUGCUUAGAUAUUACACAGAACACCGAUUGCGAAGGCAGCUUACUAAGCUAUGAUUGACGCUGAGGUACGAAAGCGUGGGGAGCGAACAGGAUUAGAUACCCUGGUAGUCC
This 229-nucleotide ribosomal RNA is filed under the name uncultured bacterium. RNAcentral describes it as "partial 16S ribosomal RNA". It matches the Rfam family "Bacterial small subunit ribosomal RNA", at positions 568 to 796 of the family's 1533-position model. The record is from RNAcentral.